RNAcentral lists this signal recognition particle RNA (273 nucleotides) under Candidatus Aenigmatarchaeota archaeon. Its description in RNAcentral is "signal recognition particle sRNA". It matches the Rfam family "Archaeal signal recognition particle RNA". The record is from RNAcentral. Lineage: Archaea; Nanobdellati; Candidatus Aenigmatarchaeota.
UGGGUGACUAGGCCGGGCGGCUGGGCCUCGCCUGUCACGGCAAACGGUCCAUAAUGGCCGGGCCGAAGCCCGAGGGCGGUAGACGUUAUCUUACUACCCCAACUACCCGACGAUGAAACCUCGCCUCUAUGGGUUUAGUUAUCUCCGAAUCCCCCAGGGCAGGAAUGCAGCAAGGGUAAGGAGAUAACUAAAUGCUGUAGAGAUACGGGGUUUAGAAGGGUUAGUUGGAUUAAGUAGUAAGAUAACGUCUAUCCACCGAGGGCGUGUCACCCA